GCAAUUGCAGAAAGUCACUCAUCAAAUAUUGAAACCCUCUCCAUUUGUUGUAAACUCAAAAGAAUAAGAUUAACAGGAUGGGUUACAAAUAUACGUCGGAUUCCCAAUCGUAUAAUGGAAUGACGAUAUAUGCAUAUGCCUCAUAGAAACAUAUUAGGAAAGGACAAUUUUAUGAAAAUAACAAGAGUUCAGAACAUGAAUAACAAGUCAUCAAAGUAUUUCUCAUAUAUCAACUACAGACUAACAUCAUCUUUCCGUUUCUCGAAGUCUUUGUCUACAUUUAUGCCAUGCCCCCACUUG
RNAcentral lists this unclassified non-coding RNA (300 nucleotides) under Hevea brasiliensis (rubber tree). Lineage: Eukaryota; Viridiplantae; Streptophyta; Magnoliopsida; Malpighiales; Euphorbiaceae. The record is from RNAcentral.